This is a long non-coding RNA of Carassius gibelio (silver crucian carp), 963 nucleotides long. RefSeq lists it as uncharacterized. Lineage: Eukaryota; Metazoa; Chordata; Actinopteri; Cypriniformes; Cyprinidae. The transcript is spliced from 3 exons. The record is from RefSeq and is a predicted model, not a curated record.
AAGGGCACCUAUUAUGCCCCUUUUUACAAGAUAUAAUAAUGGUCUUGGGUGUCCCCAGAAUGUAUUUGUGAAGUUUCAGCACAAAAUACCCCACAGUUAAUUUAUUAUAACCAUUUGAAAAUGUCAUUUUUGGGGCCUGUUUUAAAAAGAGCUGUUUUGGUGUGUACCACCUUAAAUAUAAAUGAGCUGCAUAUCCCCGCCCUGCCUUUGGAUGAGGGCGUAACUGGCACACCUAUUACAAUGAGCGAUCGGUAUCGGUAGAAGCAGAAUGGCUGAGAGUGGGAGACCCGCUGUUUUGUAUGGCAUUCAGCCGUAUAUGUUUGAACCAGAAUCAGACCCAGAUGAUGAAGAGACUCCGGCAGAAGAAACACAAAUGAGAAUGGAGCAGGACGUCUCUGAAUGGUUGUUUGAUACAUUUAUGUACUUAUAUUUUAAUCGCGUCCCCUUUGCAAUUAUGGAUGUGCAACACGCACUGUGAUAACGUUCGCGCAAUUUUUUUAAACUACAAACACAAAUACUGUGAUAACGUUUGCUAAGUACAAACGAAAUUAUAUUUAUGCGAGGGAACGAUUGCGUCAUGUUGACAUUACUUGUCGUACAGGUGUUUAUGUGGCAAAUGUGAGAAGAUGGCUACAGAACCAGAAAAUAUAUGCUGCAGGGAGAUAGAACAGGUUACAAGACGGAUGCAACAACUUGAAGUCACUCCAUCAUGUAUGGUAGACCAUCCCGGAAUGGAUCCAGUUUGUUUAAAUGUGUUUUCGUUACAAAACGCUUUUAACAUUUACAGGGCUGACUAUGGUCCCCUGCGACUUCGUGGAGUACAACAUCGUUACAGAUUUUUAGCUUAUCGGAGUUUUGUGAGCUGGUGCUGGGGUUUCCUUGGACGAAAAGUUCGAGUUGUGAUUCCAUCCUGUGUGGUCCUGAGGAUUCGAAGAGAGUUUCCUGAUGCCCAGGGUAGUUAUG